GAGUCUUCAGGGAGUGGGCUGGACACAGAGGAGACCAUCACUUCGGGAGGAUUGUCAUUCACAUCCACCACUUCUACCAGGACUUUGCUGUGGGCAGAGAGGCCUCCACCAUCUGUAGCUUGAAUGUCAAUGUCGUAUGUUUCAAUGGCUUCAAAAUCGAGAGGGCCUCUUAGUCGAACCUCUCCAUUUUGAGGGUCAAUCUGAAACGUCUUGAGAAUUGCUUCUGGGUUUUGAGCUAAAGAGUAAGUUAUCGCUUUGUUGGUGCCCUCGUCUAGGUCCACGGCAGUCACCGUGGCCACCAAAGAGCCAUUGGGGCUGUUCUCUGAUACCUGGGCUCUGUACACCAGUCGCGAGAACUGGGGCACGUGGUCGUUGACAUCCAGAACCACCACGUGGAUGUGAGCUGUGCCAGACUUAGGCGGGGACCCGCCGUCCACCGCCGUAAUUGUCAAGUUGACUUCAGGCUGCUUCUCUCGGUCCAGGGGUUUGUUCAGCACCAGCUCAGCAUAUUUAGGCCCGUGGCUGCGGAAGCGGGUGUGCAGGUGGAAAUACCCAUUGGCACUCAGGGUGUAGUUCUGGAGACCGUUAAGGCCCACGUCCAGAUCCUGGGCGCUCUGCAGAGGAAAACGUGAACCCAAGGGGGUGCUCUCCGGAAUCUUUAAAAGCGGCUCCUUGUUUAGGAAAACUGGGGCAUUGUCAUUGAUAUCAAAUACCCUGACCUCGGCCCGGAAGGACUGCAGCGGCUCCACCAGGACUACUUCAAAGUGCAGAACACAAGGGUCGGCUUUGCCACAAAGUGACUCCCGAUCCAGUUUCUCCUUCACAAACAAAUCUCCCGUCUUGCGGUGGAGCCGGAAAUGCAUUUUGUUGCCCUCGGAAACCAGCCGCGCCCCGCGCGCAGCCAGCUUCCCUACCUCCAGUCCUAGGUCCUUAGCUACGUUGGCCACAAACGAGCCGCUCUCCAUUUCCUCCGCCACUGAAUAGCGGAUAGUUGUCGCACCCCCCACAGAUAUGCACAGAAAAAUGAGAAGAGAUCCCACUUGCCUGUUUUGCAAAGAUUUUCUGCGUGUACCCGCCAUCAGUUCUCACAAGCGCGCUCUCUGCAAUCAAAGCCAACUGUUGCGGAUAUACUUUCACUUUUCUGCAACAGGUUACUGCAACAGCAGCUCCUCGCUUCACUAGCCUCUAACUGCAGCACCACCAAAGGCUAGCCGAGCCCAUUAAGCUGUUUUGCACUUGAAAGAAAAUUUGCAUUGAGCGACUCAACUCCCCAGUCUAGCGAAUGUAUUAAUAGAUAUGUUCUCAUUCCGGAGAGUUAGGUAGAGGUUGAAAGUUUGUUGCCAAAGCAACAACAGACUCACCUGUUAAUUCCCUUUCAGGAAAAAAAGUCCUUGGGAAUUGAGAAGCCAAUGAGAUUAGUCGUUCAAGCUGAAGUCAUUCUAUCUGCUAGCUGUCUGGAGCCACUGAAGCUGUGGGCGAACAGCAACAAGUUUAAGCUACAUCUGCACACUCUGCGGUCCAGAGACCAAGAAAGAAGCACAAGGAUCCUGCAGAGUCUUCCGAAGCCCAAGCCAAAUAUAUGAGGCAGGGAGCUAGAGAAUGUGGAGGAAGUGGUCAGUAGGAAAAGGAAAGGGAACAGACAUUCUCCUUCAGAAACUUGAGGUCCAGUCCCUGAACUUUAGCUGGCCCCAAAACUUGAGCAAGCUCUAAAAAGCAGAACAUCUCCCACUUAACAGUUUAUUCUGAGAACUGGCCAACCACAGGAGGGAAAAUCAUAUCUCCAGUUAAAGUGCCCUGAUCAUGCCAUCUGCUCAUCUUACCCCCUUCGCCCUGCUCCCACACAAAGUUCCUGCUAGCCCUGUUUACAUCUUCUUUUUUAAACUCUAUUUUUAGACAUUUGAAGAUUUCCGUGGUCAGAGGGUCUGUAAUAGUCUUUUUUGAAUAAAGCUGCUCCUUACCUAAAUCCAGAUUUGUUUUCAUUGAAUAUAAUAAUAAAUGACCAUAUUACUUUCACC
Long non-coding RNA from Pan troglodytes (chimpanzee), 2015 nucleotides. RefSeq lists it as uncharacterized. NCBI's taxonomy places the organism in Eukaryota, Metazoa, Chordata, Mammalia, Primates, Hominidae. The record is from RefSeq and is a predicted model, not a curated record. The transcript has 2 exons.